Molecule: ribosomal RNA, 1963 nt
Filed under: Triticum aestivum (bread wheat)
Lineage: Eukaryota; Viridiplantae; Streptophyta; Magnoliopsida; Poales; Poaceae
Description: partial small subunit ribosomal RNA
Source: RNAcentral
CAUGUUAUCAGGAUAAGUCGUCCGACGUUGUCUCAGGUGUAGUCGUUUUUAGACUCGACCUCUCUUUUUUAUUUCUUCUCUAUUCCUCGCCAGAGAAGCACUUCGCGGCCCGAUUCUGUGUCUUGUGCUCUCGGAAGGCGGGCGAACGUCGGGCUACGCUCGCGAUCGCGGCGGCGAAGGCUAGGGCACGCAGAGGGAACGGAGCACACGAAGAGGAAGGUGGAAGCGCGCGCCUUAGGUAGAAAGGGAGCGAGGUUUAGCGAACCACGUGCGGUUUAGCUUCGAAAUUUCAGAGGUCGAAGGGGGUUUAGCGGUGGUGGGGUUUUGGAUCUUGUCGGCGGCCGCGGCGUAGUUCCUCUACCCAGUCGUCAGGUUUUCCUACACACGUGGCUGCGGAGUCCAGCAGGGCGGUAGCGAUGGAGUUAAGGAAGGCGGCAACUACGGUGUAGAGCAGGGCGGCAGCCGCGGUGUGGAACAAGGCGGCGACAGCCGCGGUGUGGAGCAGGGCGGCGGUGCGGUCGGGCCUGGUCCACGGAGCUAAGGAGGUGUCGGUGGUUUCCGUCGCCGUCGGAGACGUGGUACGACCGAGGGGGUCUGCGUUCCGGGAAACACCAUGUGCUUACAACUACUAGACUUAGGUCUUCGUACCCAUCACCUAAGAGUGGGUGACCACCCAAGGAACCAAAAAAAUUCUUGUGCGGUUCGGAAAGUGUUCGACACUCGUUACCCUGAAAUAGCGUUGUUUAGUUCUUUCCUCUACGGUGGUUACCACCGCUCACACGUUCCUGACUUUUCGCGAACGACACCUGUUUUCUCCUUCUAGAAUCUAAGCAACCACGAACCAACUUAUUAACUUUGCUAGGUUAGGUUAGUUUAAUGUUCUUCUUACUGGUUAUGACCUUACUUCAACGACGACAGAUGUUAUCAUGGUGGGGGGGAGGGGGGGUUUUGUCCCUUUCCGAUCAGUUCGUUCACUUCCUAGCGAAACCCUCUUAAUUCUUUUCCCAACGUACCAAAACACCCUCAAUGUUCCUUCGAUCACGUGACAUACGAUCACCACUUAGACUACGUCUAAAUUUCUUCUCCCGUUACGUUUGAAUACUCCGUCUAGUGGGUCUUCUGCCAGGUAAAUACAAACUCGUAACAACCCAUCAAGAUUUCUCGUUGGUUUUACCCUACGUAUAAACCUUGCGGACCUUAUACACCUCGGCCUGUUCUCCUUCAAAUCACAACUACUACUUCACCCCGUUGCAAAGUGAGAUCUACUACUAUUUCUCCUUGCAGGUGGCCCACCGUUCUGUCGAUUUCCUUUGCUUUUUGUUUCCUGCUUCCAACAUAUUAUCUAGAACUUCUACUCGAAUCGUUCAAAAAUCUACGAGUCUUACGUCGUUUACUUCCGGCGUUUCUCUACAAUCUCUGUGUUUCCGCACACAGGUCACUCUUAGAACUCCGAGCCUUUGAACGUACGGAACGUCGUUUUCUAGUGUUCCUCAGCCAGUACGAUCUUUGUAUGGCGAGGAACUACUACGUUCUGUGUUCAUCCUACAGACUUCUACACUCUAGGCUCGUGUACAACCGUAACUUCACAAAGUCCCUCUUCGAUAAACCUUUUUGACUGGUUCCUGAUACGGCACAGUACCACUGACGACGUACACGUUGGAUGACACCGACUUCUAACAACUACGUCUACCUAAGCAACGAGGUAAAUGGUAGUUUUGAUUACCGAAUAAACGUAACAGAGAACAAACCAAUUACAAAAGAAUUUUUCUGCCCAACAUUACAAAUUCACAGCUACAGUACCACAAUACGCGGUAGUCAAAUAACUAGCAGCCGUAGUUCUAAUUUUGAUUGCCGAACAAACGGCCCGCAGAAUAAAUCAAGAUACAAACCAAUUACGAAGGAACCUUUCUGAGUUCGUUACAAGUUGACAAAACAGUACCACGAUACGCAUGAACAAAGAACG